GUGGGGAAUAUUGCACAAUGGGCGAAAGCCUGAUGCAGCAACGCCGCGUGAGGGACGACGGCCUUCGGGUUGUAAACCUCUUUUAGUAGGGAAGAAGCGAAAGUGACGGUACCUGCAGAAAAAGCACCGGCUAACUACGUGCCAGCAGCCGCGGUAAUACGUAGGGUGCAAGCGUUAUCCGGAAGUAUUGGGCGUAAAGAGCUCGUAGGCGGUCUGUCGCGUCUGCUGUGAAAACUGGAGGCUCAACCUCCAGCCUGCAGUGGGUACGGGCAGACUAGAGUGCGGUAGGGGAGAUUGGAAUUCCUGGUGUAGCGGUGGAAUGCGCAGAUAUCAGGAGGAACACCGAUGGCGAAGGCAGAUCUCUGGGCCGUAACUGACGCUGAGGAGCGAAAGCGUGGGGAGCGAACAGGAUUAGAUACCCGAGUAGUCC
This 430-nucleotide ribosomal RNA is filed under the name uncultured bacterium. RNAcentral describes it as "bacterial SSU rRNA". It matches the Rfam family "Bacterial small subunit ribosomal RNA", at positions 354 to 796 of the family's 1533-position model. The record is from RNAcentral.